GUUCAAAUAGCUUAAAUUUUAGAGUAUAAUAUUGAAGAUGUUAGGGAGAUUAAUUAAUCUUUGAAUA
RNAcentral lists this transfer RNA (67 nucleotides) under Hylemya vagans. RNAcentral describes it as "tRNA-Phe". The record is from RNAcentral. Lineage: Eukaryota; Metazoa; Arthropoda; Insecta; Diptera; Anthomyiidae.